This 67-nucleotide transfer RNA is filed under the name Clemnius laccophilinus. Its description in RNAcentral is "Hygrotus laccophilinus transfer RNA-Leu". Lineage: Eukaryota; Metazoa; Arthropoda; Insecta; Coleoptera; Dytiscidae. The record is from RNAcentral.
AAAUAUCAUUUUGGCAGAUUAGUGCAAUAAAUUUAGAAUUUAUAAAUGUAAUUUUUUACAAAUGAUA